AACCAUAGAAACCUGCGGAGUACCUGCGGAGGGAUCAUUACAGAGUGUAAAAACUCCCAAACCCUUUGUGAAUCUACCUAUUCUUUGUUCCUUCGGUAGGCGGUCCCUGGGAGGGACCUAUAGCCCAGAUGGGUGCCUGCCGAAGAACAUCUCAAACUCUGUUACCGUGGUGUUAUUCUGAGUAACUACAAAAUAAGAUAAAAACUUUUAACAAUGGAUCU
This 221-nucleotide unclassified non-coding RNA is filed under the name soil metagenome. Its description in RNAcentral is "partial contains 5.8S ribosomal RNA, internal transcribed spacer 2, and large subunit ribosomal RNA". The record is from RNAcentral.